This 971-nucleotide ribosomal RNA is filed under the name Psychrobacter sp. RNAcentral's name for it is "bacterial SSU rRNA". It matches the Rfam family "Bacterial small subunit ribosomal RNA", at positions 74 to 1045 of the family's 1533-position model. Lineage: Bacteria; Pseudomonadati; Pseudomonadota; Gammaproteobacteria; Moraxellales; Moraxellaceae. The record is from RNAcentral.
GCUUGCUAUCAGGCGUCGAGCGGCGGACGGGUGAGUAAUACUUAGGAAUCUACCUAGUAGUGGGGGAUAGCACGGGGAAACUCGUAUUAAUACCGCAUACGACCUACGGGAGAAAGGGGGCAGUUUACUGCUCUCGCUAUUAGAUGAGCCUAAGUCGGAUUAGCUAGAUGGUGGGGUAAAGGCCUACCAUGGCGACGAUCUGUAGCUGGUCUGAGAGGAUGAUCAGCCACACCGGGACUGAGACACGGCCCGGACUCCUACGGGAGGCAGCAGUGGGGAAUAUUGGACAAUGGGGGAAACCCUGAUCCAGCCAUGCCGCGUGUGUGAAGAAGGCCUUUUGGUUGUAAAGCACUUUAAGCAGUGAAGAAGACUCUUCGGUUAAUACCCGGAGACGAUGACAUUAGCUGCAGAAUAAGCACCGGCUAACUCUGUGCCAGCAGCCGCGGUAAUACAGAGGGUGCAAGCGUUAAUCGGAAUUACUGGGCGUAAAGGGAGCGUAGGUGGCUCUAUAAGUCAGAUGUGAAAUCCCCGGGCUUAACCUGGGAACUGCAUCUGAAACUGUAGAGCUAGAGUAUGUGAGAGGGAGGUAGAAUUUCAGGUGUAGCGGUGAAAUGCGUAGAGAUCUGAAGGAAUACCGAUGGCGAAGGCAGCCUCCUGGCAUAAUACUGACACUGAGGCUCGAAAGCGUGGGUAGCAAACAGGAUUAGAUACCCUGGUAGUCCACGCCGUAAACGAUGUCUACUAGUCGUUGGGUCCCUUGAGGACUUAGUGACGCAGCUAACGCAAUAAGUAGACCGCCUGGGGAGUACGGCCGCAAGGUUAAAACUCAAAUGAAUUGACGGGGGCCCGCACAAGCGGUGGAGCAUGUGGUUUAAUUCGAUGCAACGCGAAGAACCUUACCUGGUCUUGACAUAUCUAGAAUCCUGCAGAGAUGCGGGAGUGCCUUCGGGAAUUAGAAUACAGGUGCUGCA